RNAcentral lists this ribosomal RNA (406 nucleotides) under uncultured bacterium. RNAcentral describes it as "partial 16S ribosomal RNA". It matches the Rfam family "Bacterial small subunit ribosomal RNA", at positions 30 to 526 of the family's 1533-position model. The record is from RNAcentral.
AUUGAACGCUGGCGGCAGGCCUAACACAUGCAAGUCGAACGAGUGGCGGACGGGUGAGUAAUGUCUGGGAAACUGCCUGAUGGAGGGGGAUAACUACUGGAAACGGUAGCUAAUCCCGCAUACCAUCGGAUGUGCCCAGAUGGGAUUAUCUAGUAGGUGGGGGAAAGGCUCACCUAGGCUACGUUCCCUAGCUGGUCUGAGAGGAUGACGGGCACCACUGGAACUUGGACACGGUCCAGACUCCUACGGGAGGCAGCAUUGGGGAAUAUUGCACAAUGGGGGCAAGCCGGACGCAGCCAAGCCGCGUGUAUGAAGAAGGCCUACGGGUUGUAAAGUACUUUCAGCGGGGAGGCGUUACCCGCAGAAGAAGCACCGGCUAACUACGUGCCAGCAGCCGCGGUAAUAC